This 253-nucleotide ribosomal RNA is filed under the name uncultured bacterium. Its description in RNAcentral is "partial 16S ribosomal RNA". It matches the Rfam family "Bacterial small subunit ribosomal RNA", at positions 524 to 776 of the family's 1533-position model. The record is from RNAcentral.
UACGGGGGGGGCAAGCGUUGUUCGGAAUUACUGGGCGUAAAGGGCGCGUAGGCGGUUCGCUAAGUUGGAUGUGAAAACUCUGGGCUCAACCCAGAGCCUGCAUCCAAAACUGGCGGGCUAGAGUUCUGGAGGGGGUAGCGGAAUUCCUGGUGUAGCGGUGAAAUGCGUAGAUAUUGCUCGGAAGGCCGGAGCCGAAGGGGCCCUACUGGUACGCAACUGACGCUGAGGCACGAAAGCGUGGGGAGCAAACAGG